GGGGAUUUAGCUCAGUGGUAGAGCACUUGCCUAGCAAGCACAAGGCCCUGGGUUCGGUCCUCAGCUCCG
Molecule: non-coding RNA, 69 nt
Organism: Rattus norvegicus (Norway rat)
Lineage: Eukaryota; Metazoa; Chordata; Mammalia; Rodentia; Muridae
Source: Rfam